AGGUCAAGCUACUAAGGGCGUACGGUGGAUGCCUUGGCGUUUGCUGGCGAUGAAGGACGUGGAAGGCUGCGAUAAGCCAUGGGGAGCCGCCAAACAGGCCUCGAUCCAUGGAUUUCCGAAUGGGGAAACCCGGCCUGGAUAAUACCAGGUCAUCCAACACUGAAUACAUAGGUGUUGGAGGCGAACUCGGAGAACUGAAACAUCUCAGUACCCGAAGGAAAAGACAUCAAUUGAGAUUCCCUCAGUAGCGGCGAGCGAACGGGGAAGAGCCUAAACUGCUCGAGUGCCAAGCCCACAGGCGUUGCUCGAGCAGGGUUGUGGGGCUCGCUUUCCUGAAGCUGUGGCUUCAGGCGCAAGUCAAAAACAAGACGAUAGCCAAACGGUUCUGGAAAGGCCGGCCAGAGAGGGUAAUAGCCCCGUCGGCGACAUCGACUUGUCUUGCGAGGCGAGUUCCCGAGUACGACGGGACACGUGAAAUCCUGUCGGAAACUGGGAGGACCAUCUUCCAAGGCUAAAUACACGCAAACGACCGAUAGUGCACAAGUACCGUGAGGGAAAGGUGAAAAGUACCCCUUUAAGGGGAGUGAAAUAGAACCUGAAACCGUAUGCCUACAAGCAGUGGGAGCACGAUGCCCUUUUGGGCCGUGUGACUGCGUGCCUUUUGCAUAAUGAGUCAGCGAGUUGCGUUUGGCAGCAAGGUUAAUCCGCUCAGGAGAAGCCGCAGGGAAACCAAGUCUUAACCGGCGACAAGUUGUCAGGCGCAGACCCGAAACCGAGUGAGCUACCCUUGGCCAGGUUGAAGUUCCGGUAAAACGGAAUGGAGGACCGAACCCACUGACGUUGAAAAGUCAGGGGAUGAGCUGAGGGUAGGGGUGAAAGGCCAAUCAAACUCGGAGAUAGCUGGUUCUCCUCGAAACCUAUUUAGGUAGGGCCUCGAGACAAUCACCGACGGAGGUAGAGCACUGAAUGGGCAAGGGGGCUAACCGCCUACCAACCCCAAUCAAACUCCGAAUGCCGUCGAGUGUUACCUCGGGAGUCAGUCUGCGGGCGAUAACGUUCGUAGGCGAGAGGGCAACAACCCAGACCGCCAGCUAAGGCCCCUAAAUGACGACUAAGUGGAAAAGGAUGUGGAGGCACACAGACAACCAGGAGGUUGGCUUAGAAGCAGCCACCCUUGAAAGAAAGCGUAAUAGCUCACUGGUCAAGUGAAUCCGCGCCGAAAAUACACCGGGGCUUAAGUCGUCUGCCGAAGCUGCGGACUGUGCCUGUUCUACGGAACAAGUGCAGUGGUAGAGGAGCAUUCCAGUCGCCUGUGAAGGGAUACCGGUAAGGAGUCCUGGAGGUUCUGGAAGAGAGUAUGCUGACGUGAGUAACGUAAAGCCAGGUGAGAAACCUGGUCGCCGAAAACCUAAGGGUUCCUGGGCCAUGCUUAUCAGCCCAGGGUUAGUCGGGACCUAAGCCGAGGCCGAAAGGCGUAGGCGAUGGAAAGCAGGUUAAUAUUCCUGCACCCACACGCGAGACGUUGAAGAUGAGGGAUGACGAAGCACGCAAGGUUCGCCGGCGAUUGGAUGCCGGUUCAACCCCGCAGCCGCUGUAGUAGGAGGCCAUGGGCCACAAACGCUACGGCAUAAGGUCAGAGGGGAUGAGGAGCGCUCCGCUUUGGGAGCGCAUGUCAACGAAUUGUGGCGAUACUUCCAAGAAAAAUCUCGCAUCGGAGUCCGUGAGUGGCCCGUACCGUAAACCAACACAGGUAGGUAGGUGGAGUACACCUAGGCGCUUGAGAGAACCCUGGUUAAGGAACUCGGCAAAUUGAUACCGUAACUUCGGGAGAAGGUAUGCCCCGAGUACGUGAACGUCUUAACGACUGUAGCGGAAACGGGUUGCAGAGAGCAGGGGGUAGCGACUGUUUACCAAAAACACAGGACUCUGCGAACUCUAGAGAGAGGACGUAUAGGGUCUGACGCCUGCCCGGUGCUGGAAGGUUAAGGGGAGCGGUUAACACCUUCGGGUGUGAAGCUGCAAACCGAAGCCCCAGUAAACGGCGGCCGUAACUAUAACGGUCCUAAGGUAGCGAAAUUCCUUGGCGGGUAAGUUCCGUCCUGCACGAAUGGCGUAACGACUUCCCCACUGUCUCGACCAGGGACUCAGUGAAAUCGAACUAGCGGUGAAGAUGCCGUUUACCCGCGGCAAGACGGAAAGACCCCGUGAACCUUGACUGUAGCUUGGCACUGACAUUCGGGUCCACCUGUGUAGGAUAGGUGGGAGACAGGGAAGCCGGCGCGCCAGCGUCGGUGGAGUCACCCUUGAAAUACCACCCUGGUGGACCUGGAUGCCUAACUCACACCCCUGAAGCGGGGUGGAGGACAGUGUCUGGUGGGCAGUUUGACUGGGGCGGUCGCCUCCCAAAGAGUAACGGAGGCGCGCAAAGGUUGGCUCAGGCUGUACAGAAACCAGCCGAAGAGUGUAAAGGCACAAGCCAGCUUAACUGUGAGACAUACAGGUCGAACAGAUGCGAAAGCAGGCCUUAGUGAUCCGGUGAUUCCGAAUGGAAGGGUCAUCGCUCAACGGAUAAAAGGUACUCCGGGGAUAACAGGCUUAUCUCCUCCAAGAGUUCACAUCGACGAGGAGGUUUGGCACCUCGAUGUCGGCUCAUCACAUCCUGGGGCUGGAGUAGGUCCCAAGGGUUCGGCUGUUCGCCGAUUAAAGUGGUACGCGAGCUGGGUUCAGAACGUCGUGAGACAGUUCGGUCCCUAUCUGCCGUGGGCGCAGGAAAUUUGAGAGGAACUGCCCCUAGUACGAGAGGACCGGGGUGGACGCAUCCCUGGUGUACCGGUUGUCGCGCCAGCGGCACGGCCGGGUAGCCAUAUGCGGACAGGAUAACCGCUGAAAGCAUCUAAGCGGGAAGCCCCCCUCAAGAUCAGAUUUCCCUUCGGGUAAACCCGACUGUAGGUCCGUCGAAGACGACGACGUGGAUAGGCGUCAAGUGGAAGCAUGGCAACAUGUGGAGCUGAGACGUACUAAUCGACCAGGAGGCUUGACCUU
RNAcentral lists this ribosomal RNA (3042 nucleotides) under Persicimonas caeni. RNAcentral describes it as "Bradymonadales bacterium YN101 23S ribosomal RNA". It matches the Rfam family "Bacterial large subunit ribosomal RNA". The record is from RNAcentral. Lineage: Bacteria; Deltaproteobacteria; Bradymonadales; Bradymonadaceae.